ACAAUAUUAUUUUACGUACAUACCAAACACUAAAAAAUAAAUAAAAAACUCACUUACAAAUUAAAGUAGAGGUCUUGCCAAAUCCCCCACACCAAGGGUUAAUGUAGCUUAAGGGGUUGGUUUAAUUAAUUUAAAAAAAAUAAGAAACUCAUUUAUUUCCAAAAAAAAACAUUUUAUAGAAAAAUAUAUUAUGAUGCGUUUCCAAAUUUAAAUGGGAUUAGAACUUCCUUCCUUUUGAAAUUCCAUCUACAAAAAGACUCCUUAAUUUUCCGAGUUGGGAACCGAUUGUGGCUGCUUAUAAACGGAAAAGGGUCAAAAUACCCCUGAACUAUUCGAAAUAGGUCACCUAUACCCUCCGUUAGUUUUUCGUGUCAAAAUGGCCCUCACCGUUACCAAAUGAGGCCACCAAUACCCCUCCGCUUAACGGCUUGCCACUUAAUCUGAUGUGGCAAGCCACAUGUAAAAAAAAUUGCCAUGUGGCAAUGCCACAUCAAUUAAAGGCCCAAUACCCUUCCCUAACCCAACCCAACCCAACCACACCCACCCGACCCAUUCAUUAUUUACCCAUCCAAUAAAUACUCCUAAAGCCCAUUUACCCUAAUUUCUCACUCCCACCACCCAAAUCAGAAUCCUAAUUUGAGAAUAUCCUCUCUUAACCUUUGAUUCUCAAGAAAUGUCGGAAGGCUCCAUCAAUUCCACUAAAAGUCGAAAUGCUAUAAAAUGUCGUUGUGGAGUUAACGCUCUAAAUUUGACCGCUUGGACUGAUGCAAAUGCUGGGAGCUAGAAGGUUCUACAAAUGUCCAAGACCCAAAGUUACUAAUUGUGGAUAUUGAGAAUGGCAAGACAAACAUCAACUCCCACCAAGGGCAGUAACAGUUAUAUUAGAUCUAAAGAGUAAAUUGGAUAAUAUGAAGGCGGAAAGAAACAAAUUGAAAAGGAUAGUCGAUGGAAUGGAUGUCGAUGAAAGGUUUAAUAUGAGGAAUCUAAUUGAUGAUAUGGAGGCUAUUAUUAUUGAAAGGGACAAUCUGAAGAAGAAACUUGAAGAAAAUGAUUUUGUCAAUCUCUAAGAGGCUGCCAAACUUAGUAUUUUAGAGGAGAAAGUUGAAGAAAUGGAGUUUAUAUCAGUUCAAGAGGCCGAAAGAGUUGUGACUUUGGAGAAGAAAAUCAAAAAGUUGAAAACUAUCAUUUUUAUUUCAUGUGCUUUGUUCCUUGUGUUUCUUGUUGGGAUGAUGAAGUGAAUGUAGUUAUGCAGAUUGUUGGGAUGAUGAAGAAAAUGGUGUUGUUGUAACGGCGUUGAUGAAGUUCCUUGCGUUUGUUGUAAUAGUUAUGUAGGUUCCUUGUGUUUAUUGUAAUGAAGGUGAUGUAUGAUGUUGAAGUUGUUGUAUUUUGUUGUGAUGUAAUGAAGUUCAUGUGUGAUGUUUUAGUUGGUG
Molecule: long non-coding RNA, 1430 nt
Organism: Lycium ferocissimum
Lineage: Eukaryota; Viridiplantae; Streptophyta; Magnoliopsida; Solanales; Solanaceae
Exons: 2
Source: RefSeq, a predicted model, not a curated record